Molecule: ribosomal RNA, 682 nt
Filed under: uncultured bacterium
Lineage: Bacteria
Description: bacterial SSU rRNA
Rfam family: Bacterial small subunit ribosomal RNA
Source: RNAcentral
GUUUGAUCCUGGCUCAGAUUGAACGCUGGCGGCAUGCCUUACACAUGCAAGUCGAACGGUAACAGGUCUUCGGAUGCUGACGAGUGGCGAACGGGUGAGUAAUACAUCGGAACGUGCCCGAUCGUGGGGGAUAACGCAGCGAAAGCUGUGCUAAUACCGCAUACGAUCUACGGAUGAAAGCGGGGGAUCGCAAGACCUCGCGCGGACGGAGCGGCCGAUGGCAGAUUAGGUAGUUGGUGGGAUAAAAGCUUACCAAGCCGACGAUCUGUAGCUGGUCUGAGAGGACGACCAGCCACACUGGGACUGAGACACGGCCCAGACUCCUACGGGAGGCAGCAGUGGGGAAUUUUGGACAAUGGGGGAAACCCUGAUCCAGCCAUGCCGCGUGCAGGAUGAAGGCCUUCGGGUUGUAAACUGCUUUUGUACGGAACGAAAAGGUCCUUUCUAAUAAAGAGGGCUCAUGACGGUACCGUAAGAAUAAGCACCGGCUAACUACGUGCCAGCAGCCGCGGUAAUACGUAGGGUGCGAGCGUUAAUCGGAAUUACUGGGCGUAAAGCGUGCGCAGGCGGUUAUAUAAGACAGAUGUGAAAUCCCCGGGCUCAACCUGNGAACUGCAUUAGUGACUGUAUAGCUGGAGUGCGGCAGAGGGGGAUGGAAUUCCGCGUGUAGCAGUGAAAUGCG